ACAAAAGGAUAUCCCCUAGAUGUAUGAUUAAAGUUGACUUAUGGAAGGCCUUUGACAUGGUUGAUUGGGACUUCCUUAUGUCAACACUGGUUGAUUUUGGUUUUCCUCAACAAUUCUGAGACUGGAUCUGAGAAUGUGUUUCGUAUUCUAUAAGCCUAAAUGGCAGCAUUCACGAUUUCUUCAGUGGGCGGCGAGGGCUAAGAUAAGGAAACCCACAAUCACCCUUAUUAUUUGGCCUUUGUCUUGAAGUACUAUCAAGGAGAUUAAAGAUGAGGAAGAUGUCAUCCCGAAUGUGAUAGGGGACACGAAGGCAGAGUAGCCGAGGAGAUGGGGUUGAAUGCAUCACACACUGUCCAGGGACCCUAAGUGCUAGUUAUUAGUCUUUUUCCUUUGAAUUGUUAUAUUAGUAUGAGAUGGAGACUACUUGUUGGCUUGCAUUGGUAGGAGAUCACACAUGUUUUCUUUUUUCUUGAGAGGUAUGUUUUCUUAUUUGUUUUUGUAAUUUCAGACAAAUAUAUGAUGCAAAGUUGUUUCCUUCC
Long non-coding RNA from Zingiber officinale, 539 nucleotides. RefSeq lists it as uncharacterized. The record is from RefSeq and is a predicted model, not a curated record. The transcript is spliced from 2 exons. Lineage: Eukaryota; Viridiplantae; Streptophyta; Magnoliopsida; Zingiberales; Zingiberaceae.